RNAcentral lists this transfer RNA (90 nucleotides) under Rosa chinensis. RNAcentral describes it as "tRNA RchiOBHm_Chr6g0302181". The stretch from base 17 to 89 matches the Rfam family "tRNA". From Rfam's summary of the family: Transfer RNA (tRNA) molecules are approximately 80 nucleotides in length. Their secondary structure includes four short double-helical elements and three loops (D, anti-codon, and T loops). Further hydrogen bonds mediate the characteristic L-shaped molecular structure. tRNAs have two regions of fundamental functional importance: the anti-codon, which is responsible for specific mRNA codon recognition, and the 3' end, to which the tRNAs corresponding amino acid is attached (by aminoacyl-tRNA synthetases). tRNAs cope with the degeneracy of the genetic code in two manners: having more than one tRNA (with a specific anti-codon) for a particular amino acid; and 'wobble' base-pairing, i.e. permitting non-standard base-pairing at the 3rd anti-codon position. Lineage: Eukaryota; Viridiplantae; Streptophyta; Magnoliopsida; Rosales; Rosaceae. The record is from RNAcentral.
CCGACUUGAUCAAUAAUCCGUUGUAGUCUAGUUGGUCAGGAUAUUCGGCUCUCACCCGAAAGACCCGGGUUCAAGUCCCGGCAACGGAAU